Molecule: transfer RNA, 85 nt
Filed under: Bacillus subtilis subsp. subtilis str. BSP1
Lineage: Bacteria; Bacillati; Bacillota; Bacilli; Caryophanales; Bacillaceae
Description: tRNA-Tyr
Source: RNAcentral
GGCCGGUGAUUGAGAAAGAUCCGAGAUUUCCGGAAGGCAUCAAUGUGGAAUUCGUUGAAACCGUGAAUGAACAAGAAUUGCAUUU